UGGGAAUUUUGGACAUGGGGCAACCCUGAUCCAGCCAUCCCGCGUGUGCGAUGAAGGCCUUCGGGUUGUAAAGCACUUUUGGCAGGGAAGAAACAGCCUGGGAUAAUACCCCGGGCGACUGACGGUACCUGCAGAAUAAGCACCGGCUAACUACGUGCCAGCAGCCGCGGUAAUACGUAGGGUGCAAGCGUUAAUCGGAAUUACUGGGCGUAAAGCGUGCGCAGGCGGUUCGGAAGAAAGGUGUGAAAUCCCAGGGCUUAACCUUGGAACUGCACUUUUAACUACCGAGCUAGAGUACGUCAGAGGGGGGUAGAAUUCCACGUGUAGCAGUGAAAUGCGUAGAGAUGUGGAGGAAUACCGAUGGCGAAGGCAG
Molecule: ribosomal RNA, 373 nt
Filed under: uncultured bacterium
Lineage: Bacteria
Description: partial 16S ribosomal RNA
Rfam family: Bacterial small subunit ribosomal RNA
Source: RNAcentral